CACAGGCAAUGAACUUCAAAAUUUUCUUUUCUUUUCUUUUGAGGAGGAUGUGAUUUGGCCAUCUGAGGAUCUCUCAUCUGGCUUUGUCAAGCUUUCAGCUGGAUCUGAAGGCUGCAUCCUGUUCCAGCUGUAUCUGCACAAGUGCUGAGGCUGCUGCAGGAGGACAUCAGUGGGGAAAUUUGCCUGUGGAUUUUCAAGAAGGCUGAAGAUGAGCAGUGCUGGUAAACCUGAGCCAUCGGCUGACUCCUCAUUCCAGAAAAGUGUUCCAAGUUCAUCAUUGCUCCUCAGGAAGGGGAUGGCUCCUCAUACUCCAGUAAUACAAAGCGGUUUCUGAUUUGUGAGAGAAGAUGGGAACUGGGAAACAAGGAAUUUGACAGUGCUUCUGCCAAGCUGUUGAAACAAUGCUGCAACACCCCAGUCAGGACCGAAUGCUGAGAGAGCAACAGAGAAAUGAGGUGUGAGGGCAUUAUUGGCCACAUGAGACUUUCUUUAGUUGUUUAAACCCUUUUUUGUUUGUUUGUUUGUUUUCAAUGUCAGUGUAAUUCCUUUUUUAGAUUACCAUGAAACUGAGAGAACAGUGAUCUACAUCUUGCCACAGGCUCCCUGAUCCAGGAGUACCGGAUAUUGGCUGAUAGCUGAGGCAAGGUAAGUGAAUCAAGGAGAAAACAAGUAUUCUUCCUCCCCAGAAAGGUGUGGAAGAAUGUGAUUGCUACAACCCUUACCAUCACAGGGGCAAGGUAAGGAGAUGUGAGUGCUGAAUCUGAACAAAAGCACUCACCCAGAGUGUUUGGAAGAGGUUUUGCAGGAGAGACAUUAUAAGCACAGCUUAUGACUCCU
Molecule: long non-coding RNA, 837 nt
Filed under: Coturnix japonica (Japanese quail)
Lineage: Eukaryota; Metazoa; Chordata; Aves; Galliformes; Phasianidae
Description: lncRNA (ENSCJPG00005015905.1)
Source: RNAcentral